Molecule: long non-coding RNA, 1195 nt
Filed under: Anser cygnoides (Swan goose)
Lineage: Eukaryota; Metazoa; Chordata; Aves; Anseriformes; Anatidae
Description: lncRNA (ENSACDG00005007678.1)
Source: RNAcentral
UGUCUGUAUCUACAUGUCUUGCCAUUCAUUUACAUGGAAUAGAUGGCCGUAUAUAAUUUAUUUUUAGCCACUACGUAUGGUCUGGCAUUUAUUUGAGAGGUUUGUCAUCCAUCUUUAUUUUAAGGAGUGACAAUAAUAACCCCUCUCUUCCUUCGAGGGGAUGUCAGGCGGAUAUAAUAAAUGCACAUUAAAAGCUGCAUUCACCUGUGUGUGUAUUCAGGCCAUGGAUCACAGUGACAAAAGCAAACAAAUGCAACAUCUGUGGUGACACCCUGACUUCAGCCCACCCCAAGCGAUGCAGCACAGAGAGAGUGAUGCAAGAGAUCCUGCAAUCCCCAAAAUGCGACGAUGCAUCUCCAAGAGUUACAGAGGGAGAGAGAUUUUAAUGCAUAAGGAUCAGCCUGCCAUGACAAGCCCCAGCAACAUUCAUACGGGCAUCGGUGGAGCAGUUAAGUGAGUGAGAAAUGGGGCAGGGGUCGGACUUCUGUCAGUUCCUCAGCUUCGUUUAAGUUUUAGUUUCACUUGCUGAAGGAAAGCUAAGUUCAGGGACAAGCCAGCAAGCACAGAAGCUGGUCUCAUUAGCUGCAAGUGUGGUUUGCUACGUAAAUCCACAAUCCUGAAUUUUAACAGGAAGGGGAAGCAUUCAGUUGGCAAAUGUGAACCAACUGAUGUGAUGGCAAAGCUCUUAUGGACUUCUGCCCAGCCACCAGUCAAGGGGCCUCCACUCCCUACUGAAAGAAGAUGCUGGGAUUAAUGAAACACCAUCCUUGUUGUUAACGCCAGGAUUCGGCUUAGCUCACUUAACACCUCACCUGCUUAGUGUGAACUCUUACAGGACACAAACCUGACGGCGCGUGCUGGAGGGGUCAUAUUGAGCUCUGCAGCCUCCUGCUGUCACAGUUUUAUUGUAAAGCUAUAGCCAAUGCUGACACGAGUCUUUGGGCAUCAGAUGCUUUUUGCACUGUUUUAAAUGCAGGUACCUGUCCCACCAGCCUCGAUCAUCUCCCCCACUUUUUCUCCCUUGGAGCCAUUACCGCCUGUCACAUAAACUCACCUGGGUUUACACUUGAUUGACGGGAGGGACGGUAACAGCUCCUUUAGUGUCGUUCUGGUCUGUCAGGUCAGUGCGGCUGGUAUGCAUGCGCACAGGGUAUGCAUGAUAAAAAACACCCUGACAUCUUCCUGAAAAAUGUGG